CACCAGCGCCUCGAGUGGGGAUCGCGAUUAUUGGGUCUAAAGCGUCCGUAGCAGGCCUUGUAAAUGCUUUGUGAAAUCGGCAGGCUUAACCUGUCGGCGUGCAGAGUAGACUGUAGGGCUCGAGAUCGGGAGAGGUUAGAAGUAUUCCUAGGGUACCGGUAAAAUGGGUUAAUCCUGGGAGGGCUACCGAUGGCGAAGGCAUCUAACCAGAACGAUUCUGACUGUGAGGGACGAAAGCUAGGGGAGCAAAACG
This 253-nucleotide ribosomal RNA is filed under the name uncultured archaeon. Its description in RNAcentral is "partial 16S ribosomal RNA". It matches the Rfam family "Archaeal small subunit ribosomal RNA", at positions 474 to 726 of the family's 1478-position model. The record is from RNAcentral.